GACGAACGCUGGCGGCGUGCCUAAUACAUGCAAGUAGAACGCUCAGUUUAUACCCUAGCUUGCUACACCAUAGUCUGUGAGUUGCGAAUGAGUGAGUAACGCGUAGGUAACCUGCGGGGGAUCGGUGGUGAACUAUUUAAAACGAUAGCUAUUACCGCAUAAUAUUGAUUAUUUCUUGUUAAUUAAUUGAAAUGUUCAAUUGCACCACGACCAUAUGGACUUUCGUUGUAUUAGCUAGUAGGUGAGGUAACGGCUCACCUAGGCGACGAUACAUAGCCGACCUGAGAGGGUGAUCGGCCACACUGGGACUGAGACACGGCCCAGACUCCUACGGGAGGCAGCAGUAGGGAAUCUUCGGCAAUGGACGAAAGUCUGACCGAGCAACGCCGCGUGAGUGAAGAAGGUUUUCGGAUCGUAAAGCUCUGUUGUAAGAGAAGAACGGGUGUGAGAGUGGAAAGUUCACACUGUGACGGUAUCUUACCAGAAAGAGACGGCUAACUACGUG
Molecule: ribosomal RNA, 505 nt
Filed under: uncultured bacterium
Lineage: Bacteria
Description: partial 16S ribosomal RNA
Rfam family: Bacterial small subunit ribosomal RNA
Source: RNAcentral